CGGGGCCGGAGCCGGAGCCCGAGAGAGACUCGCCGCGCACGCAAGGGGAAGCUGCUGGCUUUACGCUGUCUGCGCAGGGGAGCCGGCCUAAAGCGCUCGCUGAAUAGGGCUCCCGGCCCCAGCCCGGAUGGAGGCGGCCUGUGGCUUUGCACACGGUGCUUUAUGCUGGUAGAAUGAACCCUGGUGACCCUGCCCUGCCAGCCUGACAAGCCCACCUGUUGAAAAGCAUUGUCACGCAGUUUCAUUGCCGUGUGAGUAUGUAUAUGGUGCAUGCCAUACCCUUCUGCAGGUAUGCUCAAUCCCGUUCAGCUCUAGCACUGGCACCAGUUACGUUAGUAAGGUGUUUGGGGGGAUUAAUUAUAUUUUAAGGUGUGCCUUCUAGAUCACAAGAAAUUGCACAUUGAGUCAAUAAGUGCCAAUAUUUGGGGUGUGGCAAGUCCCCUGCCUCUCUGAUUCAUGAAAACAGCAGUCGCUUUCUUUAAGACAGGCAAAAUCUUUCUGUAUCUUUCUCUAAUGUUGGAGCGCGUGAUAGAGCAGCCGUCAUCAUGAAGGAUUCAAAAGCAAUUCACAAACUACUGAAAUUUGGCAUAUUGUUCCAAGCACACAUCUGGAGUGGGAGGGCCAGGUAUUUAGGGUGGGUCCUGCAGUGAAGUCUCAGUUACAGGUUGCUGCUGUGGUUAAGUUCCACUGAUGAUUCCACAAUAGCUAACUGACACCAUUCACUUCAGGAUUUCUGCCCCUCCAACCUGCAUCCUUCAGUGGUAAAAGCACGCAGGUCCUCAAAUGUAUUUAGGCUCCUAAGUUCCAUUGAAACCAAUCUACGAUCCUCUGGGGUAGCUUGUGAACAUCCUAACAACUUUAAACUGGGACCCAAAGUCAUAUGAGGCUUCUUGUGAACAUCUUUGUGUGGUUGAGUGUUUUGGAAACUAUAACACAUGGAGUUAGUUCCACAACUAACUUUUACAUUAUGUUUACUACGCUUUUCUUGUCACCUUAUUGUUUUACAAAAAUAUUUUAAUUUUUCUGAAAAUGUUCAUGGAACAAAUUGAUUUUAAUAAUCACUAGGAAAUUGCUGGAAAUAUUGCAGUAUAAGGGAGGGAGCAGUGCAGGUUUAAAACCUACCAAUCAAAAGGGAGUGGGACAGGGGUUCCUGCCCAGAGACAGGUGACAGCUGGAGACCUGAGACCAAACUAGAAACUCCUGGAGUGGACCAUGGAGGAAAGGGAUACAGGUGCAAUUACCCUGAAAUUGUGACAAAGCGUGUCCUUGGGAGGAAGAUGAGACAGAGCUUCUUUUGGACACGCUACUUGUGGGAAAAGCAGACUUGGGCUGCCUGCUGUUAUUUAUUUCUACUAUGAUCAUGGAAACAGGACUUUGUGUACAUUCUUUGUAAAUAAACACAUUUGCA
This is a long non-coding RNA of Dermochelys coriacea (leatherback sea turtle), 1408 nucleotides long. RefSeq lists it as uncharacterized. The record is from RefSeq and is a predicted model, not a curated record. Lineage: Eukaryota; Metazoa; Chordata; Testudines; Dermochelyidae. The transcript is spliced from 2 exons.